This 514-nucleotide ribosomal RNA is filed under the name uncultured beta proteobacterium. RNAcentral's name for it is "bacterial SSU rRNA". It matches the Rfam family "Bacterial small subunit ribosomal RNA", at positions 197 to 697 of the family's 1533-position model. The record is from RNAcentral. Lineage: Bacteria; Pseudomonadati; Pseudomonadota; Betaproteobacteria.
UGGAGGAAAGUAGGGGAUCGAAAGACCUUAUGCUUUUGGAGCGGCCGAUGUCUGAUUAGCUAGUUGGUGGGGUAAUUGCCUACCAAGGCGACGAUCAGUAGUUGGUCUGAGAGGACGACCAGCCACACUGGGACUGAGACACGGCCCAGACUCCUACGGGAGGCAGCAGUGGGGGAUUUUGGACAAUGGGCGCAAGCCUGAUCCAGCAAUGCCGCGUAAGUGAAGAAGGCCUUCGGGUUGUAAAGCUCUUUCAGUUGAGAAGAAAAGAUUGUAACUAAUAAUUACAGUUCAUGACGGUAUCAACAGAAGAAGCACCGGCUAACUACGUGCCAGCAGCCGCGGUAAUACGUAGGGUGCAAGCGUUAAUCGGAAUUACUGGGCGUAAAGGGUGCGCAGGCGGUUCUGUAAGUCAGAUGUGAAAUCCCCGGGCUUAACCUGGGAACUGCGUUUGAAACUACAAAGCUAGAGCUGGAGGAAAGUAGGGGAUCGUCGGCGUUUGAAACUACAAAGCUAG